UACGAGUGCCUCGAGCGUUAUCCGGAAUCAUUGGGCGUAAAGGGUGUGUAGGAGGUCUUAUUAGUCUUCUGUUAAAUUUCUCGGCUUAACCGGGAACAUGCAGGGGAAACGGUAAGACUAGAGGAUGCGAGGGAUCUACGGAACUCAUAGUGUAGCGGUGAAAUGCGUUGAUAUUAUGGGGAACACCAAAAGCGAAGGCAGUAGAUUGGAACACUCCUGACUCUGAAACACGAAAGCGUGGGUAGCGAAUGGG
This 253-nucleotide ribosomal RNA is filed under the name uncultured bacterium. Its description in RNAcentral is "partial 16S ribosomal RNA". It matches the Rfam family "Bacterial small subunit ribosomal RNA", at positions 524 to 776 of the family's 1533-position model. The record is from RNAcentral.